GACGAACGCUGGCGGCGUGCUUAACACAUGCAAGUCGAACGGAAAGACCCGGCGUUUGUUGGUUGCUCGAUUGGCGAACAGGUGAGUGACACGUGAGUAACCUGCCCUUGACUGUGGGAUAACUUCAGGGAACUGGGGCUAAUACCGUGUAUAAUCUCCUGCUGCGUGGGGGUGGUUGGAAAGUUUCGGCUGUUGGGGAUGGACUCGCGGCUUAUGAGCUUGUUGGUGUGGUAGUUGCUUACCAGGGCUUUGACGGGUAGCCGGCAUGAGAGGGUGACCGGCCACCUUGGGACUGCGGUACGGACCAGAAUGCUACGGGAGGCAGUAGUGGGGAAUAUUGCACAAUGGGCGGACGCCUGAUGCAGAAACGUUGCGUGCGGGAUGCCGGCUUUCGGGUUGUAAACAGAUUUGGACUGUGCCGAAGAGUUAGUGACGGUAAUGGGUAAAGAAGCCACGGCUAACUACGUG
RNAcentral lists this ribosomal RNA (468 nucleotides) under uncultured bacterium. Its description in RNAcentral is "partial 16S ribosomal RNA". It matches the Rfam family "Bacterial small subunit ribosomal RNA", at positions 28 to 507 of the family's 1533-position model. The record is from RNAcentral.